CCUACGGGUGGCAGCAGUGAGGAAUAUUGGUCAAUGGGCGCGAGCCUGAACCAGCCAAGUCGCGUGAGGGAAGACGGUCCUAUGGAUUGUAAACCUCUUUUGUCGGGGAGUAAAAGCCGCCACGCGUGGCGUGUCGAGAGUACCCGAAGAAAAAGCAUCGGCUAACUCCGUGCCAGCAGCCGCGGUAAUACGGAGGAUGCGAGCGGUAUCCGGAUUUAUUGGGUUUAAAGGGUGUGCAGGCGGAAGAUCAAGGUAGCGGUAAAAUUGAGAGGCUCAACCUCUUCGAGCCGUUGAAACUGGUUGUCUUGAGUGAAUGAGAAGUAUGCGGAAUGCGUGGUGUAGCGGUGAAAUGCAUAGAUAUCACGCAGAACUCCGAUUGCGAAGGCAGCAUACCGGCGCUCAACUGACGCUCAUGCACGAAAGUGUGGGUAUCGAACAGGAUUAGAUACCCGUGUAGUC
This 459-nucleotide ribosomal RNA is filed under the name uncultured bacterium. RNAcentral's name for it is "partial 16S ribosomal RNA". It matches the Rfam family "Bacterial small subunit ribosomal RNA", at positions 338 to 795 of the family's 1533-position model. The record is from RNAcentral.